UUAGCUCAUCAGCCAUCGUCAGUGUUAGUGUGCUUCAUGUGUGGCCCAGGGAAGACAAAAGAUUGGACACUGCUGGUCUAGAGAGAAUCAGAAAGAGUGCCAGGUCCAGGGAAUGUUGCAGCAAACCCCGUGAAGUUGGCUGAAGCUGUCUUGAGCAGAGAGGCAGGAAAGGAGAGAAGAAGGUAAGGAUGGAGAAUAAAAGAGGGAGGAGGGAGUGGGGUUGGUGCUAGGAAAGAAUGUAAGGGAUGAUCUGACUUGGAGAGAGAUGCAGGAAGCUCCUGUGUCACCCGAAGCCAGAGUCAGAAUUCUCUCUUGAGGGAGGAGGAGUGGUCCUGGGUAAGGGAGCAGCUCUUACAAAGGCCCUGAAGCACAAAGAGGUGCACCCCACGGCCUUGGGGAGCUGAAAGCAGGACAAUGAAGCUGCAAGACAGAGCAAAGAGGAGAAGGGCAGUGUGCUGAGGGGUAGCUGGGGGCAGGCGUGAGUCCUUGUGUGAUCUCCAUCAGCCCCCUUCUCAGGCUACCUGGAGCAAUCUCCUCCACUCACAUUGCAGCCCCUGAGCCCCUCCCAGAAAAAUCCUGGAACCUUCUUGAGGGAUGGAUAUUUGUGGGGGUGAGGCUGGCCUGGCUGGGCUUUCUAGGCCUUGUCAAGAAAUUGGGAUUAGCCUUGUUAUAAGUAAAAUUUUAUUGCUGAAAGAAACAGCACUUGAAGAUAAAACCUCUCAGCAAGGCAGUUUACUUCUAUAGAAGGGUGUGCCUCACAGAUGGAGCAAAGGUGAGCACACACUUGGGCAAGGGAGGAAAAGGGGUUCUUAUUCCGGACGGAGGUUUCCCCUACUGCUGUGUCAUUCCCCUAUUGGCUAGGGUUAGACUGCACAGUCUAGGCUAAUUGUCUGUUUUAAAGAGAGCAGGGGUACAAGCCAGAAGUGGCAGGGUGGGUGGCUUGGCGGGAAGGAUGGUUACGGGCAGAUCAGAGCAGGUAGCCAGGGCUGACCUAGGUCAAAGCAGGUAACCAGAGCAGGUGACCUGGAUGAGUCAGGACGGAGCCGGGGACCGGAGGAACAGAUGUGAACUACUGAUAAGAACUGGUGGAGAAGGUUGUUUACUGAAACUACAAGGAAGUUGAACUUUAAAAUGGAGGACAAAUGACUGAACAUACUGACAUACUGAUUCUUUGAAGAGAAAUGUAGACCUCUUUGUAUUCAAUAGUCUUAAAGGAAUAGAACUUCAUUGAAGGCUUUUAAGAAAGGUGGAUGAGGCAAUAAAAUUCACAUUUUUAGAAGUUACAUCUGGAUGCCUUGUAGGGAAGGGAUUGGAGGGGGCCUGAGUGGAUGAAGGGGAGAACUGGGGGAAUCUUCUGGAGUUCCAGGCAAGAGUGGAGAUGGCUUGGACCCGGUCAGUUCCAGUAAAGAUAUUUUCGUUGCCUUCACUUCUCCAGCCUGUAUUUUCAGUUCCUCCCUGACCACCUAGGCAGAUUCUGAGUCUUUCUAGAAUCACUAUUCCAAAUCCCACUCCUCUACUUGAACUGGGAGAGACCUUCUGCUCCCCUCAAGUCUCUGACCACACCAUACAGAUAACAAACUGCCUCCGUGUCAAGCUGGAGCCCCGCCCUCUUUUCUAUUUUUCAAAAUACAGACAACAAAUAUGCUCAUUAUUUCACAUUGCAAGACUGCCACCAACCUGAGAAUAAAACGCGAAGCUUAAGCUUCAAGCUCACAUAUCAAGAAAUGUAUAGUACAAUCAAACAGGAAGUUGCCAAGCCAAGAAAAUACGAAACCUCUGAGGGAUCCUUUUGCAUUGCAGGAUGAAGAAGAGCGAGAAGAGAAAAAGCAUUCAUUUGGAUGCUUUUCUUAUCUACUUCGCACUAGCUUUGAAAUAGACAGUCUACUCAUUCGAAUAUAGUUUAAAAUGAAUGCCUGGAGCUGCUUGAUGGAGCAGGUUGGGUUUUCAGGCACAGGUUAAGAGUUUUCUUCAUAGGCUUGUUCAUCGGCAUGUAUGAGUUCUUUUCAGAACUAUGCUGCAAUGGAGUUACCAUGCAAAUCGUGCUGUAUGUGUACAUUUUUACCUGGCCUUCUCUCUACCUGUUUCUGGAUGGCAUUAAGCAAAUCCUUUACCAUAACAAAGUAUUUCUUCCGUCACUGGUCAAAAAGCAUCCUUUGUUGUGCUUGCCCCAGCUUCUUUGGGGAAUGAUGAGCAUGGUGA
Long non-coding RNA from Sapajus apella (tufted capuchin), 2199 nucleotides. RefSeq lists it as uncharacterized. NCBI's taxonomy places the organism in Eukaryota, Metazoa, Chordata, Mammalia, Primates, Cebidae. The transcript is spliced from 2 exons. The record is from RefSeq and is a predicted model, not a curated record.